Molecule: ribosomal RNA, 465 nt
Filed under: Vreelandella stevensii
Lineage: Bacteria; Pseudomonadati; Pseudomonadota; Gammaproteobacteria; Oceanospirillales; Halomonadaceae
Description: partial 16S ribosomal RNA
Rfam family: Bacterial small subunit ribosomal RNA
Source: RNAcentral
CCUACGGGAGGCAGCAGUGGGGAAUAUUGGACAAUGGGCGAAAGCCUGAUCCAGCCAUGCCGCGUGUGUGAAGAAGGCCUUCGGGUUGUAAAGCACUUUCAGUGGGGAAGAAAGCCUUGGGGCUAAUACCCUCGAGGAAGGACAUCACCCACAGAAGAAGCACCGGCUAACUCCGUGACAGCAGCCGCGGUAAUACGGAGGGUGCGAGCGUUAAUCGGAAUUACUGGGCGUAAAGCGCGCGUAGGCGGUCUGAUAAGCCGGUUGUGAAAGCCCCGGGCUCAACCUGGGAACGGCAUCCGGAACUGUCAGGCUAGAGUGCAGGAGAGGAAGGUAGAAUUCCCGGUGUAGCGGUGAAAUGCGUAGAGAUCGGGAGGAAUACCAGUGGCGAAGGCGGCCUUCUGGACUGACACUGACGGUGAGGUGCGAAAGCGUGGGUAGCAAACAGGAUUAGAUACCCGGGUAGUC